GAUGAACGCUGGCGGCGUGCCUAAUACAUGCAAGUCGAGCGAACAGACGAGGCGCUUGCUCCUCUGACGUUAGCGGCGGACGGGUGAGUCACACGUGGAUAACCUACCUAUAAGACUGGGAUAACUUCGGGAAACCGGAGCUAAUACCGGAUACUAUAUUGAACCGCAUGGUUCAAUAGUGAAAGACGGUUUUGCUGUCACUUAUAGAUGGAUCCGCGCCGCAUUAGCUAGUUGGUAAGGUAACGGCUUACCAAGGCAACGAUGCGUAGCCGACCUGAGAGGGGGAUCGGCCACACUGGGACUGAGACACGGUCCAGACUCCUACGGGAGGCAGCAGUAGGGAAUCUUCCGCAAUGGGCGAAAGCCUGACGGAGCAACGCCGCGUGGGUGAUGAAGGUCUUCGGAUCGUAAAACUCUGUUAUUAGGGAAGAACAAAUGUGUAAGUAACUAUGCACGUCUUGACGGUACCUAAUCAGAAAGCCACGGCUAACUACGUG
Molecule: ribosomal RNA, 497 nt
Filed under: uncultured bacterium
Lineage: Bacteria
Description: partial 16S ribosomal RNA
Rfam family: Bacterial small subunit ribosomal RNA
Source: RNAcentral